CGUGUAGGCGGUCGGUCAAGUCCGGUGUGAAAGCCCGGGGCUCAGCUCCGGAAGUGCAUCGGAAACUAGCCGACUGGAGCGCGAUAGAGGAGGGUGGAAUUCCUGGUGUAGCGGUGAAAUGCGUAGAUAUCAGGAGGAACACCGGCGGCCGAAGGCGGCCCUCUGGAUCGUUGCUGACGCUGAGACGCGAAAGCGUGGGGAGCAAACAGGAUUAGAUACCCUGGUAGUCCACGCUGUAAACUAUGGGUACUAGGUGUUCGGGGUGUUGACCCCCUGAGUGCCGACGCUAACGCAUUAAGUACCCCGCCUGGGGACUACGGCCGCAAGGCUAAA
This 333-nucleotide ribosomal RNA is filed under the name uncultured bacterium. Its description in RNAcentral is "bacterial SSU rRNA". It matches the Rfam family "Bacterial small subunit ribosomal RNA", at positions 568 to 898 of the family's 1533-position model. The record is from RNAcentral.